This 441-nucleotide ribosomal RNA is filed under the name uncultured bacterium. RNAcentral's name for it is "partial 16S ribosomal RNA". It matches the Rfam family "Bacterial small subunit ribosomal RNA", at positions 338 to 795 of the family's 1533-position model. The record is from RNAcentral.
CCUACGGGGUGCAGCAGUGGGGAAUAUUGCACAAUGGGGGAAACCCUGAUGCAGCAACGCCGCGUGAAGGAAGACGGUUUUCGGAUUGUAAACUUCUGUUCUUAGUGAAGAAUAAUGACGGUAGCUAAGGAGCAAGCCACGGCUAACUACGUGCCAGCAGCCGCGGUAAUACGUAGGUGGCAAGCGUUGUCCGGAAUUACUGGGGGUAAAGGGAGCGCAGGCAGGAAGCCAAGUCAGCUGUGAAAACUACGGGCUUAACUUGUAGACUGCAGUUGAAACUGGUUUUCUUGAGUGAAGUAGAGGUUGGCGGAAUUCCGAGUGUAGCGGUGAAAUGCGUAGAUAUUAGGAGGAACACCAGUGGCGAAGGCGGCUUACUGGACAGUAACUGACGUUGAGGCUCGAAAGCGUGGGGAGCAAACAGGAUUAGAUACCCUUGUAGUC